Molecule: ribosomal RNA, 273 nt
Filed under: uncultured bacterium
Lineage: Bacteria
Description: partial 16S ribosomal RNA
Rfam family: Bacterial small subunit ribosomal RNA
Source: RNAcentral
UACGGAGGGUGCAAGCGUUGUCCGGAUUUAUUGGGUUUAAAGGGUGCGUAGGCGGCUGUUUAAGUCAGUGGUGAAAGACUCCGGCUCAACCGGAGCAGUGCCAUUGAUACUGGAUAGCUUGAGUGUUGGAGGGGUACAUGGAAUUGAUGGUGUAGCGGUGAAAUGCAUAGAUACCAUCAGGAACACCGAUAGCGAAGGCAUUGUACUGGCCAACAACUGACGCUGAGGCACGAAAGCAUGGGGAGCGAACAGGAUUAGAAACCCCCGUAGUCC